AAGUUUGGUUGUGAAAUGUUGUAAAAUGCGAAAAAUAUAGCCCUGCGAAAUUUGCAAAUUUUGUAUUAGUUUGUGUUACGUUCGGGAAAAUGCACACCACAUUUGGCCCGAAAGUGGUGCAAAUUCCCGGUGCGUAAUACAAAUUAACACUAAAUUUGCAAAUUUCACAGGGCUAUAUUUUCCGCAUUUUACAACAUUUCGCAACCAAACUU
Molecule: non-coding RNA, 212 nt
Organism: Paramuricea clavata
Lineage: Eukaryota; Metazoa; Cnidaria; Anthozoa; Malacalcyonacea; Plexauridae
Source: the annotation of a GenBank genome assembly